GUGCCUACGGGGCGCAGCAGUAGGGAAUUUUCGUCAAUGGGCGCAAGCCUGAACGAGCAAUGCCGCGUGAACGAGGAAGGUCUUCGGAUCGUAAAGUUCUGUUGAAGGGGAAAAAGAGCGGAGAGAGGAAAUGGUCUCCGAUUGAUAUUACCCUUCGAGGAAGUCACGGCUAACUACGUGCCAGCAGCCGCGGUAAUACGUAGGUGGCGAGCGUUAUCCGGAAUGAUUGGGCGUAAAGGGAGCGCAGGCGGUCCUGCAAGUCUGGAGUGAAACGC
Molecule: ribosomal RNA, 275 nt
Filed under: uncultured bacterium
Lineage: Bacteria
Description: partial 16S ribosomal RNA
Rfam family: Bacterial small subunit ribosomal RNA
Source: RNAcentral